This 779-nucleotide long non-coding RNA is filed under the name Phaseolus vulgaris (common bean). Its description in RNAcentral is "long non-coding RNA (PVUL_LNC004109)". The record is from RNAcentral. Lineage: Eukaryota; Viridiplantae; Streptophyta; Magnoliopsida; Fabales; Fabaceae.
AACUGAAAUAACAUUUGGAAUUUAGGGGUUUUAUUAAUUCAUACCUUGAAUGAUACCACCGGAAACACUCUAUUCAAGAAAUUUCUGCGAAUUCGAAAACAUGGAGAAGGAAACCAUUGCUGUUAGCAACAUAAAAAACGAAAUUUAGAUUAAAAAACAGAGAUAAGAUUAAGAUGAUGAUGAGGGGUAUAUACCAGAAGUUGGAAGGUGCUUCUUAUUUGGCGAUCUUAGAUGAAUGCCUGAAAGAAUAGUGUGUGGAUGAGUUGAAAGAAAUCGGGAUUUGGUAUUUAUAGGAAAGGAUGGAGUGUGGCAUAGAUUGGAAACCAUUGUUAACAUCUUCUUCCUUAUCACUCUCAUCUAACAUACCAUCCUCUCUUUACAUAUUCUUAACUGUCUUGAAUAAUAUAAUAUCUCAUCGCAGAAAAAAAAAAAAAAAAACUGUGGCUGGUCCAACUUGCUCUCUUUUUAUGUUGGAUGGGGUCGCCACGUUGGAUCCACGCCCACACAAUUCCACUAUAUAAUUAAGAAAGAAAUAAAACGAAGUAAAACUGGAAAACGUGAUACGACACGAUAUUCUUAUGUUGCACACCUGUGCGAUUUUCGUUGGGUAAAAUUAAAAUUUACAAAACAAAAUUUUUGGUUUUAAGGGCUACCAAUCUCUGUUGCUUACGCCUACCCUUUGGAUUGUGAAGCUCAAAUACACAACCGCGUUACUUGGCCUGAACUUGUUAGGGUUUAUGUAUGGGUUAAGUAUAAGAAUUUCUAUAAUUGGUUUUAAU